AUUGAACGCUGGCGGCAGGCCUAACACAUGCAAGUCGAGCGGAUGAAGGGAGCCUGCUCCUGGAUUCAGCGGCGGACGGGUGAGUAAUGCCUAGGAAUCUGCCUGGUAGUGGGGGAUAACGUCCGGAAACGGGCGCUAAUACCGCAUACGUCCUGAGGGAGAAAGUGGGGGAUCUUCGGACCUCACGCUAUCAGAUGAGCCUAGGUCGGAUUAGCUAGUUGGUGGGGUAAAGGCCUACCAAGGCGACGAUCCGUAACUGGUCUGAGAGGAUGAUCAGUCACACUGGAACUGAGACACGGUCCAGACUCCUACGGGAGGCAGCAGUGGGGAAUAUUGGACAAUGGGCGAAAGCCUGAUCCAGCCAUGCCGCGUGUGUAAAGAAGGUCUUCGGAUUGUAAAGCACUUUAAGUUGGGAGGAAGGGCAGUAAGUUAAUACCUUGCUGUUUUGACGUUACCAACAGAAUAAGCACCGGCUAACUUCGUG
RNAcentral lists this ribosomal RNA (484 nucleotides) under uncultured bacterium. RNAcentral describes it as "partial 16S ribosomal RNA". It matches the Rfam family "Bacterial small subunit ribosomal RNA", at positions 30 to 507 of the family's 1533-position model. The record is from RNAcentral.